This 497-nucleotide ribosomal RNA is filed under the name uncultured bacterium. Its description in RNAcentral is "partial 16S ribosomal RNA". It matches the Rfam family "Bacterial small subunit ribosomal RNA", at positions 28 to 507 of the family's 1533-position model. The record is from RNAcentral.
GAUGAACGCUGGCGGCGUGCCUAAUACAUGCAAGUCGAGCGAACGGACGAGAAGCUUGCUUCUCUGAUGUUAGCGGCGGACGGGUGAGUAACACGUGGAUAACCUACCUAUAAGACUGGGAUAACUUCGGGAAACCGUAGCUAAUACCGGAUAAUAUUUUGAACCGCAUGGUUCAAAAGUGAAAGACGGUCUUGCUGUCACUUAUAGAUGGAUCCGCGCUGCAUUAGCUAGUUGGUAAGGUAACGGCUUACCAAGGCAACGAUGCAUAGCCGACCUGAGAGGGUGAUCGGCCACACUGGAACUUAGACACGGUCCAGACUCCUACGGGAGGCAGCAGUAGGGAAUCUUCCGCAAUGGGCGAAAGCCUGACGGAGCAACGCCGCGUGAGUGAUGAAGGUCUUCGGAUCGUAAAGCUCUGUUAUUAGGGAAGAACAUAUGUGUAAGUAACUGUGCACAUCUUGACGGUACCUAAUCAGAAAGCCACGGCUAACUACGUG